This 1197-nucleotide ribosomal RNA is filed under the name Leifsonia sp. RNAcentral's name for it is "bacterial SSU rRNA". It matches the Rfam family "Bacterial small subunit ribosomal RNA", at positions 150 to 1357 of the family's 1533-position model. The record is from RNAcentral. Lineage: Bacteria; Bacillati; Actinomycetota; Actinomycetes; Micrococcales; Microbacteriaceae.
CCGGAAACGGAAGCUAAUACCGGAUACGACGCACGGAGGCAUCUCCUGUGCGUGGAAAGAACUUCGGUCAAGGAUGGACUCGCGGCCUAUCAGGUAGUUGGUGAGGUAACGGCUCACCAAGCCUACGACGGGUAGCCGGCCUGAGAGGGUGACCGGCCACACUGGGACUGAGACACGGCCCAGACUCCUACGGGAGGCAGCAGUGGGGAAUAUUGCACAAUGGGCGCAAGCCUGAUGCAGCAACGCCGCGUGAGGGAUGACGGCCUUCGGGUUGUAAACCUCUUUUAGUAGGGAAGAAGCGAAAGUGACGGUACCUGCAGAAAAAGCACCGGCUAACUACGUGCCAGCAGCCGCGGUAAUACGUAGGGUGCGAGCGUUGUCCGGAAUUAUUGGGCGUAAAGAGCUCGUAGGCGGUCUGUCGCGUCUGCUGUGAAAACCCGAGGCUCAACCUCGGGCCUGCAGUGGGUACGGGCAGACUAGAGUGCGGUAGGGGAGAAUGGAAUUCCUGGUGUAGCGGUGGAAUGCGCAGAUAUCAGGAGGAACACCGAUGGCGAAGGCAGUUCUCUGGGCCGUAACUGACGCUGAGGAGCGAAAGCGUGGGGAGCGAACAGGAUUAGAUACCCUGGUAGUCCACGCCGUAAACGUUGGGCGCUAGAUGUGGGGACCAUUCCACGGUUUCCGUGUCGCAGCUAACGCAUUAAGCGCCCCGCCUGGGGAGUACGGCCGCAAGGCUAAAACUCAAAGGAAUUGACGGGGGGCCCGCACAAGCGGCGGAGCAUGCGGAUUAAUUUCGAUGCAACGCGAAGAACCUUACCAAGGCUUGACAUAUACGAGAACGGGCCAGAAAUGGUCAACUCUUUGGACACUCGUAAACAGGUGGUGCAUGGUUGUCGUCAGCUCGUGUCGUGAGAUGUUGGGUUAAGUCCCGCAACGAGCGCAACCCUCGUUCUAUGUUGCCAGCGCGUAAUGGCGGGAACUCAUAGGAGACUGCCGGGGUCAACUCGGAGGAAGGUGGGGAUGACGUCAAAUCAUCAUGCCCCUUAUGUCUUGGGCUUCACGCAUGCUACAAUGGCCGGUACAAAGGGCUGCAAUACCGUAAGGUGGAGCGAAUCCCAAAAAGCCGGUCUCAGUUCGGAUUGAGGUCUGCAACUCGACCUCAUGAAGUCGGAGUCGCUAGUAAUCGCAGAUCAGCAACGC